CUAUGCCUGUGUGGCUUCUGCUAUAUUAGUGAAUACCCAGAUGCUUGAGCUGGCUGUGGCCUGAGGGCUCUAGUCUGUGCUCCAGAGUGGGGUCAGCCCCUGCAACCAUCCCACCAGGACAGAGAAGUGGGAGAGAGAAAAUGCUGGUUACUACUUUGCCAGAAGAAUGGACUUUGCCAGCAGCCCCUCAGCAAGAUCACCAUCCUUCUGCCAAUCCCUUUGUCUCCUCAUACAGGCACCCAGAGGACACUGGUUAACUUUGGCCCAAGAGUAAAUGAGCUUUCAAAACCAGAGAGCCUCCUACUAAGAAAAUCCUAUGGACCUCCUCUCACACAGUUGUCUGCUAUAGCACUGAGGCCUCAGGCAUGGAGAAUUAAAGGAUGUACUUAGAAAGUACCAAGUGUGUGUGCAGCCCUUUCACUUCAUACCCACUCUGUGAGAAGGCACCAGAAAGGGAAUGGAAAACAAAGCCUGCCCAGAAAGGAAAAUAAGUCAAGUCUUUGCCCUCCUAAUGAUCUUGGAACCAUCUUGGAAAUAGUACAAAGAAGACAAAACUGAAGCUACACCAAAGUCAAAUUUAAGGUGGCUUUAAACCUCACUAAAAAGAAGAGAAUGUGUUGUGUCAUAAUUUUGCUCAAAUAAAUGGAUAGACAUAAUGGAUUUCUCCUAUUAUUUUUUCACACUUGAUGUUAUAGUUAGUUCUAAGUCCAUUUCUAAGUAAUUUAGCCUUUAUUUGUUAAGUAUAAGUUAACUAUUCAGUUGAGAUGAUAAAGCAGAUUUUGUGGAAUAUAGUAUUACAUGACAGAAACUUAUAUCUAAAAUGACUAUUAUAGGCUAUUUCUGAAGGAAAGUCAAAUUUACACCUUGUGGUGCAAUCCCCCUAGAAAAGUAAUAUACAUAGGAGAGCUCAUAUCAAGCUAUUACUUUAGCCCUGAUAGUAUAAACCCAUAUUAUCACUCAUGAAACUUGUGACCAUUUUGUUUCAAUGAUAGCAAAAUCACACCAAAUAAAAAAGCAUUAUUUUUUUGAAAUUUUAUAGAAGUUACACAAAUUUCAUGCAUUUCAUAUGUACAGAUUUAGGAACAUAGUGAUAACGUCCCAUGCAAACCUCCUAAUACCCAAGACCAACCCUUCUUCUUCCUCCCUCUUCCAUCCCCAUUCUUAAUUUUUACAAACAUCUACUUUCAGUUUACUUAGUUAUCAUAAGUUGUAGCCUUCAUUAAGUAGAAAUUAAUGAUAAUCAGUUUAAUUUCUAAUAAGUUUGUAUCUUUUAACUGCACAGUUGAGGUCAUUUACAUUCAAGGUGAGUGAUGAUAAAUAAUGACUUGCCCUUCCAUUUUUUGAUAAAUAUUCCUAUUGUUAAAUUUGGAUUUCUUUUGUACUUCUACUAGGGGAUUUUCUGCCAUCUCAUUCUUUCACAAUUAUGGAUA
Non-coding RNA from Oryctolagus cuniculus (rabbit), 1430 nucleotides. The record is from RefSeq and is a predicted model, not a curated record. Lineage: Eukaryota; Metazoa; Chordata; Mammalia; Lagomorpha; Leporidae.